AGGACGAACGCUGGCGGCGCGCUUAAUACAUGCAAGUCGAGCGAGAACCAGGGCUUCGGCUCUGGGGACAGCGGCGAACGGGUGAGUAACACGUGGGUAAUCAACCCCCGACACCGGGAUAGCCCAGGGAAACUUGGAUUAAUACCGGAUGCUCCAUCCGGCUCUCGAGCCGGCUGGAAAAGGGUAGCUUCGGCCUCCGGUCGGGGACGAGCCCGCGGCGGAUUAGCUUGUUGGUAUGGGUAACGGCCUACCAAGGCGACGAUCCGUAGCUGGUCUGAGAGGACGAUCAGCCACACUGGGACUGAGACACGGCCCAGACUCCUACGGGAGGCAGCAGUAGGGAAUCUUGCGCAAUGGGCGAAAGCCUGACGCAGCGACGCCGCGUGAGGGAAGAAGGCCUUCGGGUUGUAAACCUCUUUCAGGAGGGACGAAGCCACUCGGGUUAAUAGCCCAGAGGGUGACGGUACCUCCAGAAGAAGCCCCGGCUAACUACGUGCCAGCAGCCGCGGU
RNAcentral lists this ribosomal RNA (510 nucleotides) under uncultured bacterium. RNAcentral describes it as "SSU rRNA". It matches the Rfam family "Bacterial small subunit ribosomal RNA", at positions 26 to 521 of the family's 1533-position model. The record is from RNAcentral.